RNAcentral lists this non-coding RNA (48 nucleotides) under Schistosoma haematobium. The record is from RNAcentral. Lineage: Eukaryota; Metazoa; Platyhelminthes; Trematoda; Strigeidida; Schistosomatidae.
AUCCUGAUGACGAGUCCCGAAUAGGACGAAACGCGCGUCAAACUGGAU